GACGAACGCUGGCGGCGUGCUUAACACAUGCAAGUCGAACGGUGAAGCCCUUCGGGGUGGAUCAGUGGCGAACGGGUGAGUAACACGUGAGCAACCUGCCCUUGACUCUGGGAUAACUACCGGAAACGGUGGCUAAUACCGGAUAUGACGCACCUGGGCAUCUGGGUGUGUGGAAAGUUUUUCGGUCAAGGAUGGGCUCGCGGCCUAUCAGCUUGUUGGUGGGGUGAUGGCCUACCAAGGCGACGACGGGUAGCCGGCCUGAGAGGGCGACCGGCCACACUGGGACUGAGACACGGCCCAGACUCCUACGGGAGGCAGCAGUGGGGAAUAUUGCGCAAUGGGCGAAAGCCUGACGCAGCGACGCCGCGUGGGGGAUGAAGGCCUUCGGGUUGUAAACCUCUUUCAGCAGGGAAGAAGCGGAAGUGACGGUACCUGCAGAAGAAGCACCGGCUAACUACGUG
RNAcentral lists this ribosomal RNA (461 nucleotides) under uncultured organism. RNAcentral's name for it is "bacterial SSU rRNA". It matches the Rfam family "Bacterial small subunit ribosomal RNA", at positions 28 to 507 of the family's 1533-position model. The record is from RNAcentral.